CCCCAACCCUAGCGCGCCUCGCGCCGGCCGCCGCCGCCGCCGCCACCACUCCCUCCCGAUGUCCGAGUCCGCGGAGCCACGGAAGGGGUAUGCCUGCUCACGUCCCGGUUCCCCGCCGCAGCGUCGGGGGCGGCGCUCUGGCCGACCAGGGACCCUCGCGGUGGUGGCUCUGGAGAUCAUCGCGUCCCCGUCUCCAUCCCCAUCCCCCGCAAGCCGGAGAGGGCGUUUCCGUCCUCACGCAAGACGGCCCGAGCGGCGGCCGCGCAGGAGCAGCACCCUCAGCUGAUUCCUUCUCCCGCCUCCCACCCUUCCCUCGUUAGCAGUGCGGUUCUAGCUCGCUCCCUCUCCCUCCGACACUCGCUGGCCAUAGAUCGAUGCUGCCGCCAAGGUUCUCUGAGACAUUCUUCGUUCUGUCUGUAGCCUAAUGAUGUUGGUGAAUGCAUGUUUCAGGAACAUAAGCACCAAGGGGAAGGUACCUCUGCAUCGGCUGCAAAGAAAUCACGCAAGCUUGGCUAUGAACAAGAGCUAUCUGAUGUGCUGCUGAUUUGAAAGAAGCCUAAGGUUGAGGGUACACUUUUGCGUGGAUCAGGUUUUGGAGAAGAAAAAGCUUCAGAGCCAAGCAAAGAGCCAGGUUGCUUCUUGCUGUGUGCGUUUCUUGAGAGAGAAUAUAGCAGAAAUGAGCUUCUCCAUCACAACAUGAAGAGCUGAGAAGGAAAUUUGCUUCCUGCUAUACAAGGGUAGGGCAGGUGCAUAGAGUUUCCAAACCUAUGCUUAUGAGUUCUUACUCUGAUUCGUUGAAUGGAUCUGCAAUAAUAAUGAAGAAUCACAAUUCGCAGGUGGCCUUGACAAACUGUGCAGGUAGUUGAGGCAUCAUUAUCUUGAAUCUUCGAGAGUUUUGUAUGUUCCUUAUGAAAAAAAAUGAGUUCAGUACUUCUUUGCUAUUGGUGGUCUAUUAGUGUGCCAAUAUCAUCACUAUGGGUUUUGAAGUUGUCUGUAUGAUCAGUGAAGGUAUGUGGUUUUUCAUUGAUAUACCUGAUUCGGUGAAGGUUUGGAAUAUGCAAACAGCAGCAGAAAUGAAUCUUACUGGAUCAAGUGGGAAAGUCUAUGCACUCGUUGUUGCCACUGAGUUAAUCUUUGCUGCAACACAGGGUUUGUACACAGAGGACGAGUAACUGCAUAAAAUGGAAGGGGAACUUAAAGCAAGGCUGCAUAGAAUGCUUACUAAAAGGGGUUAUGUAUUCAAAUUUCAACCAAGCAGUUAGAGUCUGGUGAUGCAGGUCAGCAUGUACGUCACCAUGUAUGAUUCAGAUCAAAUGGAACCAAGCAGUUCAGAAAGAGAUUGAGAUUAAAAGUCCAGGAAGGCAUGUUCAUCUACUGAUAGGUGGCAUGAUUAUUUGUAAAUUUCUAGCUACUCAAGCUAGCCUGCUAAAGAAGGCACAGAACAAAACGUAGAAAUGCCAAUGAUCAAGCCCAUGUCAAUGGUUCAAUGUAUUGGUUGCUUCUUCUUGAAUAUUUGUCCAAUUAUAAACAUUUUAGUUGAGUUUUAGAAGUUCAGAAACAUAAAAUUGCAUUGAUCUUGUU
Molecule: RNA transcript, 1581 nt
Organism: Panicum virgatum (switchgrass)
Lineage: Eukaryota; Viridiplantae; Streptophyta; Magnoliopsida; Poales; Poaceae
Gene name: zinc finger CCCH domain-containing protein 17-like
Exons: 8
Source: RefSeq, a predicted model, not a curated record